Paramuricea clavata is the source of this 212-nucleotide non-coding RNA. The record is from the annotation of a GenBank genome assembly. NCBI's taxonomy places the organism in Eukaryota, Metazoa, Cnidaria, Anthozoa, Malacalcyonacea, Plexauridae.
CGCAAGCAUAUUCUUAAUGGUCUUAUACAGCCGUUAAAAUUCAGUUUAGAUGAGGUUUCUGUGUCGGCAUGCAAAUGGUAUUAUGAUCAGUGUCAACUGUGGUUAACUCAUGUCAUUGUACAGUGAUCCAGAAAAGAAAACUGAAGCUAUUUCAACGAGUCUCGAUGUUUUGUUAUUUUGAAUAAUUGCUUGUAUACCUUAAAGCGCGUCUG